CCCUUAGAUGUCCUGGGCCGCACGCGCGCUACACUGAGUGUCUGAGAUACGAGUCUGCCUGGUCCGGCAAGGUCUAGGUAAUCGCUAAAAGACACAUCAUGCUUGGGAUAGAUUAUUGCAAAUAUUAAUCUUCAACGAGGAAUGCCUAGUAAGCGCAAGUCAUCAGCUUGCGUUGAUUACGUCCCUGCCCUUUGUACACACCGCCCGUCGCUCCUACCGAUUGAAUGGUCCGGUGAAGCGUUUGGACUAUGGUUUUCUGAUGGUCCGCCGUUGGAUUACCGUGGGAAGUUCGUUAAACCUUAUCAUUUAGAGGAAGGAGAAGUCGUAACA
Molecule: ribosomal RNA, 330 nt
Filed under: uncultured eukaryote
Lineage: Eukaryota
Description: partial 18S ribosomal RNA
Rfam family: Eukaryotic small subunit ribosomal RNA
Source: RNAcentral